AAACCUUAGUAAUAAAAUUUACUCCUUUAGAAUUGCAGUCUAAUAUCAUUAAUGACUAUAAAGUU
Molecule: transfer RNA, 65 nt
Filed under: Polleniopsis mongolica
Lineage: Eukaryota; Metazoa; Arthropoda; Insecta; Diptera; Calliphoridae
Description: tRNA-Cys
Source: RNAcentral